GAUGAAGAACGUAGCGAAAUGCGAUAAGUAAUGUGAAUUGCAGAAUUCAGUGAAUCAUCGAAUCUUUGAACGCACAUUGCGCCCGCCAGUAUUCUGGCGGGCAUGCCUGUUCGAGCGUCAUUUCAACCAUCAAGCCCCAGGCUUGUGUUGGGGACCUGCGGCUGCCGCAGGCCCUGAAAACCAGUGGCGGGCUCGCUGUCACACCGGGCGUAGUAGAUUUUAUCUCGCUCAGGGCGUGCUGCGGGUUCCGGCCGUUAAAAAGCCUUUUUUACCCAAGGUUGACCUCGGAUCAGGUAGGAAGACCCGCUGAACUUAAGCAUAUCAAUAAGCGGAA
RNAcentral lists this unclassified non-coding RNA (334 nucleotides) under soil metagenome. RNAcentral's name for it is "partial contains 5.8S ribosomal RNA, internal transcribed spacer 2, and large subunit ribosomal RNA". The stretch from base 1 to 120 matches the Rfam family "5.8S ribosomal RNA", at positions 35 to 154 of the family's 154-position model. The record is from RNAcentral.